Molecule: transfer RNA, 73 nt
Filed under: Deltaproteobacteria bacterium
Lineage: Bacteria; Pseudomonadati; Myxococcota; Myxococcia
Description: tRNA-Trp
Rfam family: tRNA
About the family: Transfer RNA (tRNA) molecules are approximately 80 nucleotides in length. Their secondary structure includes four short double-helical elements and three loops (D, anti-codon, and T loops).
Source: RNAcentral
AGGGGAGUAGCUCAGCUGGUAGAGCGGCGGUCUCCAAAACCGUAGGUUGCAGGUUCGAUCCCUGUCUCCCCUG